RNAcentral lists this ribosomal RNA (1384 nucleotides) under Lactiplantibacillus plantarum. Its description in RNAcentral is "bacterial SSU rRNA". It matches the Rfam family "Bacterial small subunit ribosomal RNA", at positions 64 to 1435 of the family's 1533-position model. Lineage: Bacteria; Bacillati; Bacillota; Bacilli; Lactobacillales; Lactobacillaceae. The record is from RNAcentral.
GGUGCUUGCAUCAUGAUUUACAUUUGAGUGAGUGGCGAACUGGUGAGUAACACGUGGGAAACCUGCCCAGAAGCGGGGGAUAACACCUGGAAACAGAUGCUAAUACCGCAUAACAACUUGGACCGCAUGGUCCGAGCUUGAAAGAUGGCUUCGGCUAUCACUUUUGGAUGGUCCCGCGGCGUAUUAGCUAGAUGGUGGGGUAACGGCUCACCAUGGCAAUGAUACGUAGCCGACCUGAGAGGGUAAUCGGCCACAUUGGGACUGAGACACGGCCCAAACUCCUACGGGAGGCAGCAGUAGGGAAUCUUCCACAAUGGACGAAAGUCUGAUGGAGCAACGCCGCGUGAGUGAAGAAGGGUUUCGGCUCGUAAAACUCUGUUGUUAAAGAAGAACAUAUCUGAGAGUAACUGUUCAGGUAUUGACGGUAUUUAACCAGAAAGCCACGGCUAACUACGUGCCAGCAGCCGCGGUAAUACGUAGGUGGCAAGCGUUGUCCGGAUUUAUUGGGCGUAAAGCGAGCGCAGGCGGUUUUUUAAGUCUGAUGUGAAAGCCUUCGGCUCAACCGAAGAAGUGCAUCGGAAACUGGGAAACUUGAGUGCAGAAGAGGACAGUGGAACUCCAUGUGUAGCGGUGAAAUGCGUAGAUAUAUGGAAGAACACCAGUGGCGAAGGCGGCUGUCUGGUCUGUAACUGACGCUGAGGCUCGAAAGUAUGGGUAGCAAACAGGAUUAGAUACCCUGGUAGUCCAUACCGUAAACGAUGAAUGCUAAGUGUUGGAGGGUUUCCGCCCUUCAGUGCUGCAGCUAACGCAUUAAGCAUUCCGCCUGGGGAGUACGGCCGCAAGGCUGAAACUCAAAGGAAUUGACGGGGGCCCGCACAAGCGGUGGAGCAUGUGGUUUAAUUCGAAGCUACGCGAAGAACCUUACCAGGUCUUGACAUACUAUGCAAAUCUAAGAGAUUAGACGUUCCCUUCGGGGACAUGGAUACAGGUGGUGCAUGGUUGUCGUCAGCUCGUGUCGUGAGAUGUUGGGUUAAGUCCCGCAACGAGCGCAACCCUUAUUAUCAGUUGCCAGCAUUAAGUUGGGCACUCUGGUGAGACUGCCGGUGACAAACCGGAGGAAGGUGGGGAUGACGUCAAAUCAUCAUGCCCCUUAUGACCUGGGCUACACACGUGCUACAAUGGAUGGUACAACGAGUUGCGAACUCGCGAGAGUAAGCUAAUCUCUUAAAGCCAUUCUCAGUUCGGAUUGUAGGCUGCAACUCGCCUACAUGAAGUCGGAAUCGCUAGUAAUCGCGGAUCAGCAUGCCGCGGUGAAUACGUUCCCGGGCCUUGUACACACCGCCCGUCACACCAUGAGAGUUUGUAACACCCAAAGUCGGUGGGG